UUUUCUUUUGUAUGGAAUUCUUCUGGUUUGCAGUACUGUGAGUGUUUGUAAAAGAAAUAUGCAUGUUUUUAAAAGUUCCAUCACACAAGAGAGAACUUGUUUCUUCUACUGAUUUGAAUGGAAUUGAGCUUUAAAAGAACAGGUCUAUACAUACACAACUUAGAAAUCUUAAAACACUGGAUGAAAGGAAAAGUCCCAAUUAUCUCACUGAAUGUUUGCUGAAGAGGUUCAACAGGGGACAGAAAGAUAAUGACCGAAAACAUUUGAACUCCACUAAAUACCUUUCGGGCUGUCCUGCAUUUAUUGAAGGUUUGGGGUUUGAUACAUUCUCAGACUAAAAUCAACAUUUUUUCCCUCUCUCCUAAAAAGUCUCUUUUGCAUACCAUUUGGAGACUCAUGAAUUACAGAUGUAAAGCUGAAAACUAUAAGAGAGUUAUUGGCAUGAUUUUCUGAGAACAAGAGGAAAAUGGAAAACAUUUUAGCAAGUUAAGGAAAAAAAAUCAACAGUAUCAUUGUUUGCCGCUUUUGUUGAAACUACCUACACGAGUCAUUUGAGGGACAUGAAGCAACUUGCAUGAAGGUGCUGGAAAUAAUAGAGUCCUGGACUGUCUAUGCUGAAAUGUCUCCUAAUGCCAGAGUGAGAAUAAAAUGU
Hyaena hyaena (striped hyena) is the source of this 652-nucleotide long non-coding RNA. RefSeq lists it as uncharacterized. The transcript is spliced from 4 exons. NCBI's taxonomy places the organism in Eukaryota, Metazoa, Chordata, Mammalia, Carnivora, Hyaenidae. The record is from RefSeq and is a predicted model, not a curated record.